GAUGAACGCUGGCGGCGUGCCUAAUACAUGCAAGUCGAGCGAACGGACGAGAAGCUUGCUUUUCUGAUGUUAGCGGCGGCCGGGUGAGUAACACGUGGAUAACCUACCUAUAAGACUGGGAUAACUUCGGGAAACCGGAGCUAAUACCGGAUCAUAUUUUGAACCGCAUGGUUCAAAAAUGAAAGACGGUCUUGCUGUCACUUAUCGAUGGAUCCGCGCUGCAUUAGCUAGUUGGUAAGGUAACGGCUUACCAAGGCAACGAUGCAUAGCCGACCUGAGAGGGUGAUCGGCCACACGGGAACUGGGACACGGUCCAGACUCCUACGGGAGGCAGCAGUAGGGAAUCUGCCGCAAUGGGCGAAGGCCUGACGGAGCAACGCCGCGUGAGUGAUGAAGGUCCUCGGAUCGUAAAACUCUGUUAUUAGGGAAGAACAUAUGUGUAAGUAACUGUGCACAUCUUGACGGUACCUAAUCAGAAGGCCACGGCUAACUUCGUG
This 497-nucleotide ribosomal RNA is filed under the name uncultured bacterium. RNAcentral describes it as "partial 16S ribosomal RNA". It matches the Rfam family "Bacterial small subunit ribosomal RNA", at positions 28 to 507 of the family's 1533-position model. The record is from RNAcentral.